UUGAUGAGAUGAUCCAAAGGU
Molecule: non-coding RNA, 21 nt
Filed under: Arabidopsis thaliana (thale cress)
Lineage: Eukaryota; Viridiplantae; Streptophyta; Magnoliopsida; Brassicales; Brassicaceae
Source: RNAcentral